This 440-nucleotide ribosomal RNA is filed under the name uncultured bacterium. RNAcentral describes it as "partial 16S ribosomal RNA". It matches the Rfam family "Bacterial small subunit ribosomal RNA", at positions 338 to 795 of the family's 1533-position model. The record is from RNAcentral.
CCUACGGGUGGCUGCAGUAGGGAAUCUUUCACAAUGGGCGAAAGCCUGAUGGAGCAACGUCGCGUGCAGGAUGAAGGCCUUCGGGUUGUAAACUGCUUUUAUAAGCGAGAAAUAUGAUGGUAACUUAUGAAUACGGAUCGGCUAACUACGUGCCAGCAGCCGCGGUAAUACGUAGGGGGAAAGCGUUAUCCGGAUUUACUGGGUGUAAAGGGAGCGUAGACGGCAGGACAAGUCUGGAGUGAAAUCCCGGGGCUUAACCCCGGAACUGCUUUUGAAACUGUGCGGCUGGAGUGCAGGAGGGGUAAGCGGAAUUCCUAGUGUAGCGGUUAAAUGCGGAGAUAUUAGGAGGAACACCGGUGGCGAAGGCGGCUUAAUGGACUGUAACUGACGUUGAGGCUCGAAAGCGUGGGGAGCAAACAGGAUUAGAUACCCUAGUAGUC